Molecule: ribosomal RNA, 450 nt
Filed under: uncultured bacterium
Lineage: Bacteria
Description: partial 16S ribosomal RNA
Rfam family: Bacterial small subunit ribosomal RNA
Source: RNAcentral
GUGGGGAAUCUUCCGCAAUGGACGAAAGUCUGACGGAGCGACGCCGCGUGAGUGAAGAAGGCCUACGGGUCGUAAAGCUCUGUCAUCAGGGACGAAUGGCCGGUGGAGUGGAAAGCCACCGGAUUGACGGUACCUGAGAAGGAAGCCACGGCUAACUACGUGCCAGCAGCCGCGGUAAUACGUAGGUGGCAAGCGUUGUCCGGAAUUAUUGGGCGUAAAGCGCGCGCAGGUGGGAUCUUAAGUCCAUUUUGAAAGUUCGGAGCUCAACUCCGUGAUGGGAUGGAAACUGGGAUUCUUGAGUACCGGAGAGGAAAGCGGAAUUCCCCGUGUAGCGGUGAAAUGCGUAGAUAUGGGGAGGAACACCAGUGGCGAAGGCGGCUUUCUGGACGGUGUCUGACACUGAGGCGCGAAAGCCAGGGGAGCGAACGGGAUUAGAAACCCGGGUAGUCC